This 653-nucleotide long non-coding RNA is filed under the name Androctonus crassicauda. The record is from RNAcentral. Lineage: Eukaryota; Metazoa; Arthropoda; Arachnida; Scorpiones; Buthidae.
GACGUCACCAACCAAUAGUAAGAUGGCGGAAUGUGUUGUUUUGAUGUUUGAGAGAAAGAAAUGUUAGACCAAAUAAUUAGAAUAAGAAUAUGGAAACCGUGUAGUGCCGCAGCCGUAAAGAUUCAAAAUUCCAUUGACGGCUUCCAAUGUCCUGCGGGAACAACUGUCCAGCCAAUGCUGGAAAUUGUCAGCCAAAUCAUACCGAAAAUAAUAACAGUAAUAACAGCAACAACAAUAAUAAUGUUAGUUUUGAAGAAGCGGAAAAUUCGAAACAAGUUGUCAGUUUAGAAGUAGAGGAUCAGACCGUAGCGGAUAAAGUACCGGUAAGCCAGAUAAAAGUAUUAUUUGUAGAAAGAUCGUUGAGAGAGGAAUAAACGAUAAAUUUUUUUGAAUGGCCUUCUGUGAGAAAAACGUAUAAUAUAAUGGACAGAUUUGUCUGAGGACUGACAUCUGUCUUCCAUUUGGUCUGUUCGCGUCAUUUCCUCCUCUCUUCCCGCCUAAAUAGUAAAUAGUCUGUUUAAUUUUAAGAUCUGGAAAAAUCUGAAUUAAAUGUAUCUGGGUGAGAGAGCGUGAGAAACUCGCUUCCCAUUCCUCACAAUUAUAAUCCUUGUAUUAAUCUAGGCGUGGUCUUUUUGUUAAUUUUUGAAAACGAC